Molecule: ribosomal RNA, 253 nt
Filed under: uncultured bacterium
Lineage: Bacteria
Description: partial 16S ribosomal RNA
Rfam family: Bacterial small subunit ribosomal RNA
Source: RNAcentral
UACGUAGGGUGCAAACGUUGUCCGGAAUUAUUGGGCGUAAAGGGCUCGUAGGCGGUCCAUCGCGUCGGGAGUGAAAAGCUGGGGCUUAACCCCAGUCCUGCUUCCGAUACGGGUGGACUAGAGGUAGGCAGGGGAGAACGGAAUUCCUGGUGUAGCGGUGAAAUGCGCAGAUAUCAGGAGGAACACCAAUUGCGAAGGCAGCUCGCUGGGACGUUACUGACGCUGAGACGCGAAAGCGUGGGGAGCAAACAGG